Molecule: ribosomal RNA, 110 nt
Filed under: Vibrio splendidus
Lineage: Bacteria; Pseudomonadati; Pseudomonadota; Gammaproteobacteria; Vibrionales; Vibrionaceae
Also listed under: 7 other names
Source: RNAcentral
GACCAUAGCAUUGUGGACCCACCUGAUUCCAUGCCGAACUCAGAAGUGAAACACAAUAGCGCCGAUGGUAGUGUGGGGCUUCCCCAUGUGAGAGUAGGACAUCGCCAGGC